Long non-coding RNA from Cucumis melo (muskmelon), 2052 nucleotides. RefSeq lists it as uncharacterized. The record is from RefSeq and is a predicted model, not a curated record. The transcript is spliced from 3 exons. NCBI's taxonomy places the organism in Eukaryota, Viridiplantae, Streptophyta, Magnoliopsida, Cucurbitales, Cucurbitaceae.
AUAUGAUGAGGGUAAUAUUGGGUACGUCAACCUAGUUGAGAUGCCCAGAUGCACCUCCUGAUCCAUGGUUACAUGCUCAUUGUAUAAUUAUCUUGUACUAUGAGCUUCUGUCUCAUUAUUAUUAUAUCAAUAAAGAGGCUGUCUCCUUUUCAAAAAAAGAACAAAGGAUAAUUUCUUUUUGGAACUUUCGAACUCUUGAGCUUCUUUUCCUUUUUCAAGCCAUGUAACAAUGAUGCACCAAUCGGUAACUUCUGAGAUGGCUCAAGUUUGUUUGCUUCUCUUGCUCUUGCAGCUUGCUUAAUAACAUUAUUCAAACUGACUUUGGAAGAUUUGGAGUCAGAAUUAGCCAUACUUAAUGACUGAUUUGAAGAGGACAGAGAAGAUGCUGAUUCCAAUGCAGGCAAUGCAGGGAGAGCUUUUAAUUUGCUGCUAGGAGAGAGAAUAAGGCCUGGCUGAAAAAAAGCUACAUCUGAGUUGUCUUCUUGGUGGGCUUUUGGAGGGAUUCCAACAGACUUGCUAAACUUAAUUUUCUUAUCCACGCCUUUACUUUUGGAAGAUAAAAGGUGCAUUGCACAGAAAUAACUUCCAUUUGCUCUUUCCUCUUUAAUGCCGUAUCUGUGUUCACAUUCUGAGGAUUAACUUCCAAUGAACUGGCCACCAAAUAAGGCUGAAGUGGAGGUUUUUCCAGGAAGCACAAAGCUGGAAACUUCCCUGGAAAUUUUCUUGGUAUGAAGACAAGCGGGUUUCUUGUGAAAUUUGACGAUUCUCAUGCAUCCUUAAUGAAACCCCAUUCUGGAUCAAUCUCAGGAGCUUCACCUUCUUCAUCCUUCAUAACUUGUAAAACUCUAAUCAAAUCAAUAGGAUUAAAAAAAUCCUUUAAGAGUAAAUCACCUUUGACUUUUGGAGAAGGACAAAGAACUUCAAUAUCACCAUAAUUUAGGAAAAAAGUUCCACGAUUUUCAUCUGCUAUUUCUAUCGUUGCUGGCAUAAAACCACAGAGGUUCCAUUUGAUUUGAAUUUUCGCUUCCACUACAUUGGUGUCAUUUAAAGUUUCAACUGAAAUAGCCUCUAAACCUUCAAAGUGAUCACCAAUGGCUUCAAAAGUCUUUCUGCACCAGUAGUCUAGAGGUAAAUUACGUAUAGUUAGCCAUCCCCCAUAACCACACACCACAUUUGGAAGGCUAUGCUUCAUCCUAUCCAAUUUCUCAAGCUAUAGAUGGAACUUACCAAAUGCUUGCCAAUUUCCAGAUUUCAGGCCACUUGUUAAACUCGAAAAGCCUUGAGACAACCCAAUGAUUGUCAAAAUCCUCCUUGACAACUGCCAAGCUUUUGAUUUUCCAGUGCUGGGACAAAAAUUUACCUUCAGGCUUCUUAACAGGCGAGGAGCAUCUUAUUUGGUUGAAGGUCAAGGCAGUACCCUGUUUCUUGGUAGGCAGAACAGAGCAACCCAUGGAAGAUUGACCAACACCUACAUUGUUUUGUUUUUCUCCUGAAAUCUUGGGCUUCUCCAUGAACUUUAUGCUACUCUGAUGCAGCAACCGGAUGUCCCGAAGAGACUCGGCAAAAACCUUCCAAUCCCUGGUGGCUUCACUUGAUGAUAAGUGCGGAAAAAUGCUGGCUGGAGAAAAGGAAUGGGGUUGCAGAUGAUGGGAAGGGCAGGGGAGGUCAGGCGACAAACGACUUUGACAACCAGAGAAGGAGCAGAGAUGAAGGGGAGACUAGGGAGAGGAGAAGAUGGAGGAAAGAGGAGAGAGAACAGAGAGAUCUUACCUUUUGCAUGUCUUGGAAUCUUUUGCGAAACUAAUUUGUUUGUAUAGUUAGAAACUUCCCUAUAAAUAGAGAAGUACUAUAUGUCAGCUGGAGGAAAUUGGGCCUUUAUAUGGAAUGUUGUAGUGUGAGCUUUGUUGUGGGGCAUUUGGUGUGAGAAAUAGUAGAAUCUUUGAGAACCUUUCCAUGUUUAGUCCCCAGCAAAUUUUGAUGUAAUGUUUCUCUAGGUCUAUGACGAGUUCUUUUUGUAAGUAUCUGUUAGGUCAUAUUUUUUAUGAUUGGAAA